Small nucleolar RNA from Ficedula albicollis (Collared flycatcher), 128 nucleotides. NCBI's taxonomy places the organism in Eukaryota, Metazoa, Chordata, Aves, Passeriformes, Muscicapidae. The record is from Rfam.
CUGGCCCUGAAUCAAGGCCAUCGGUUUGCUGUAGCCGUUGGUUUCAAACAGGAGCCCAGAGGAAACGUCUCCCGGUCUGUUGGUGCUCCCGUGCCAUGGAACAGCCAAUUCGUGUGGGAGCAACAAAG